GAGAGAGGCUCGCUUCGCUCGCCAAUUAGUCUCAGUGAUUGGUUCCGACGUUCGACAUCGAAAGAGCUCAAAUCCGACCGUUAUUUCUUUCGAAAACCGUUCGGCGACCUGUUUCUUCCUUCUGUGAACGGUUUUUGGCCAAGCGACCGUUUUGGGAGACGCGUCGGCGUGAACAACUCGAUUCGAGCAGACUCGCCCACCCUUGAUUGAAACGUUAUUGAGAGGAUAGACGAGUGUUGGGGACGUCUGCGACUGAUAAUGAGCGACAGGAAGAGGUCUGGUUCGUGUAGCGGCGAAUUCACGGCGUGACAUUGGACUAGAUUGCUAAUUGUUGCAUAUGAGAUUGUUCUUGGUACUUCUAAUAAAGUAAGAAAGAUGUAGAAA
Molecule: long non-coding RNA, 384 nt
Organism: Corticium candelabrum
Lineage: Eukaryota; Metazoa; Porifera; Homoscleromorpha; Homosclerophorida; Plakinidae
Exons: 2
Source: RefSeq, a predicted model, not a curated record